UGCCAGUGAUAAACUGGAGGAAGGUGGGGAUGACGUCAAGUCAUCAUGGCCCUUACGACCAGGGCUACACACGUGCUACAAUGGCGCAUACAAAGAGAAGCGACCUCGCGAGAGCAAGCGGACCUCAUAAAGUGCGUCGUAGUCCGGAUUGGAGUCUGCAACUCGACUCCAUGAAGUCGGAAUCGCUAGUAAUCGUGGAUCAGAAUGCCACGGUGAAUACGUUCCCGGGCCUUGUACACACCGCCCGUCACACCAUGGGAGUGAGUUGCAAAAGAAGUAGGUAGCUUAACCUUCGGGAGGGCGCUUACCACUUUGUGAUUCAUGACUGGGGUGAAGUCGUAACAAGGUAACCGUAGGGGAACCUGCGGUUGGAUCACCUCCUUACCUUAAAGAAGC
RNAcentral lists this ribosomal RNA (396 nucleotides) under Escherichia coli. Its description in RNAcentral is "bacterial SSU rRNA". It matches the Rfam family "Bacterial small subunit ribosomal RNA", at positions 1150 to 1533 of the family's 1533-position model. Lineage: Bacteria; Pseudomonadati; Pseudomonadota; Gammaproteobacteria; Enterobacterales; Enterobacteriaceae. The record is from RNAcentral.